This 609-nucleotide ribosomal RNA is filed under the name uncultured bacterium. RNAcentral describes it as "bacterial SSU rRNA". It matches the Rfam family "Bacterial small subunit ribosomal RNA", at positions 338 to 953 of the family's 1533-position model. The record is from RNAcentral.
CCUACGGGAGGCAGCAGUAGGGAAUAUUGGGCAAUGGAGGAAACUCUGACCCAGCCAUGCCGCGUGCAGGAUGACGGCCCUCUGGGUUGUAAACUGCUUUUAUACGGGAAGAAAAAUGCUACGUGUAGCACAUUGACGGUACCGUAAGAAUAAGGAUCGGCUAACUCCGUGCCAGCAGCCGCGGUAAUACGGAGGAUCCAAGCGUUGUCCGGAUUUAUUGGGUUUAAAGGGUGCGUAGGCGGAUCUUUAAGUCAGUGGUGAAAGCCUGCAGCUCAACUGUAGAACAGCCAUUGAAACUGAAGAUCUUGAAUAUGGUUAAAGUAGGCGGAAUGUAUCAUGUAGCGGUGAAAUGCUUAGAUAUGAUACAGAACACCGAUAGCGAAGGCAGCUUGCUGAACCAUUAUUGACGCUGAGGCACGAAAGCGUGGGGAGCAAACAGGAUUAGAUACCCUGGUAGUCCACGCCCUAAACGUUGAUUACUCGUUGUUGGCGAUAUACUGUCAGCGACUAAGCUAAAGCGUUAAGUAAUCCACCUGGGAAGUACGACCGCAAGGUUGAAACUCAAAUGAGUAGAGNGNGAGAGNGCGACGGACGACACGAGGGAGGAGG